GCGAGAACAGAGGUGGCCGGGUGACAGGAAGGACUUGAAGGUCACUGUUCACAUGAAGUUUGCACUGAAAGCACGUGAUGGGGGACUGGACUCUGACUCCGAGUCAUGUCGUCCCCACCACGGUCCUGUCCACACCUCCCCUCCUGUGCUCACAGCUGCUCCCAUCUGGCUGACUCUCCCGGCCCUGGAUGGCACAGGUGACACACAGCUCUGGAGGAGAGCCGUUCCCGGUGUCUGCUCCUGGGGGAAUUCCCCGGCAUGGAGAGGCACUUAGACAAGCCUUCGGCCAGGAGCUCUGAUGGCCUCUGCACGGGGUGGCGCUAUGGUGCUGGCUGCUGGGACACCCCAGGAAGGAGCUACGGCCUCUGUGCACAGCGUCACUGCCUUUGUGGUAAGAUUGCAGAGGAACCUGCCCACUACGUGGACACCAUUUACUGAGAGAACUGCUUGGGUGUUUCUUGGUCUCACAGAAUCUGAGGCUCCAUGUUACGUCGCCAUUUCGGCUCACAUUCUGAGUUACUGUGUGCACUGUACGUGUGAGUAAGUCUACGUGUUUUUGUAUAUUCUGUAUAACACCACUUUUAAAGGACGUGCUGAGGAGUGAGCCCAGGCCUUCUGCAUGCUGGGCACGCACACCACCGACUCGCUGUCCCCAGACCUCCUUACCUCUUCCUGAGGCUCGGGUGCCGCGAUGCUGUUUUCUCCUGGGUCCGCACAGAGGUUAAAAAAAAAAGGAUCUGAAGGGCGUCAUGACUUGCUGGCCAGAAAGUCAGGUCUUUGGUUCUGGAUUUUGUUCCCUGGACCAGACACACCUUGCGAUUGUGACCUGUGUGGCCGCUCCUGCACACGAGGGAGUCUUCCAAGCACUCCGGUCACUUUGAGACCGUCUUCAGGACCACGCUGCAGCGCUCACUCGUCACAGUAAACGAUGCAGGACGUGGCCCCUGCCACCCCGGAUGACAGAGCCCCACAACUGCCCACCCUGGAUGACAGAGCCCCACAACUGCCCACCCCGGAUGACAGAGCCCCACAACGGCCCACCCUGAAUGCUAACCUGGAUCCUGUCUCAGACAAAGGAGUCUCCCAAGGAAGCCUGGCCAAACUGCAGUAGGGCCCCAGGGAUGAACUCCAGCUUUCAGGGCAAGUGCUUUACCUGCCCGUCCAUCUUGUCAGCCCAGUUCUCUUCAUUACGCUGUCCUCUCCGUCCGCGGGGUCAGAGGUCAGCAUUUCUCCUGUUGCAGAGACAAACUCACUCUCACUGGUCACAGAGAGAGUCGAGGGGCUGGUAGGCGAGGUCACAGGGCUGGAGGCUGUGGAGGUUCGAAC
Peromyscus maniculatus bairdii (prairie deer mouse) is the source of this 1326-nucleotide non-coding RNA. The record is from RefSeq and is a predicted model, not a curated record. Lineage: Eukaryota; Metazoa; Chordata; Mammalia; Rodentia; Cricetidae.